AUACGGAGGGGGCUAGCGUUGUUCGGAAUUACUGGGCGUAAAGCGUACGUAGGCGGACUGAUCAGUUGGGGGUGAAAUCCCAGGGCUUAACCCUGGAACUGCCUUCAAUACUGUCAGACUUGAGAGUGGAAGAGGUGAGUGGAAUUCCUAGUGUAGAGGUGAAAUUCAUGGAUAUUAGGAGGAACACCAGUGGCGAAGGCGGCUCACUGGUCCAAUACUGACGCUGAGGUACGAAAGCGUGGGGAGCAAACAGGAGUAGAAACCCCAGUAGUCC
Molecule: ribosomal RNA, 274 nt
Filed under: uncultured bacterium
Lineage: Bacteria
Description: partial 16S ribosomal RNA
Rfam family: Bacterial small subunit ribosomal RNA
Source: RNAcentral